GACGAACGCUGGCGGCGUGCCUAACACAUGCAAGUCGAACGGAGAAGUCAGCAAUGACUUCUUAGUGGCGAACGGGUGAGUAACGCGUAGACAACCAACCUUUUGGUGGGGGACAACAUCUCGAAAGGGGUGCUAAUACCGCACGCGCUCUUCGUGGUACCUGCCAGGAAGAGGAAAGGGGCCGUAAGGCCUCGCCGAAAGACGGGUCUGCGUCUGAUUAGCUAGUUGGCGGGGUAACGGCCCACCAAGGCGACGAGCAGUAGCCGGUCUGAGAGGAAGAACGGCCAGACUGGGACUGAGACACGGCCCAGACGCCGACGGGAGGCAGCAGUGGGGAAUCUUCCGCAAUGGACGAAAGUCUGACGGAGCGACGCCGCGUGAGUGAAGAAGGCCCUUGGGUCGUAAAGCUCUGUCAUCGGGGACGAACGGCCAGGUCAGGAAAUGGGCCUGGAUUGACGGUACCCGAGAAGGAAGCCACGGCUAACUACGUGCCAGCCGCCGCGGUA
RNAcentral lists this ribosomal RNA (506 nucleotides) under uncultured bacterium. RNAcentral describes it as "partial 16S ribosomal RNA". It matches the Rfam family "Bacterial small subunit ribosomal RNA", at positions 28 to 522 of the family's 1533-position model. The record is from RNAcentral.